RNAcentral lists this long non-coding RNA (460 nucleotides) under Mytilus galloprovincialis (Mediterranean mussel). Lineage: Eukaryota; Metazoa; Mollusca; Bivalvia; Mytilida; Mytilidae. The record is from RNAcentral.
CAGAAAUCAUAAAGAAAAAUUAAAUUUGAAUAUUAUUUAAAUGAAUUUUUAAAGUAUUUUUUUUUUCAUUCAAAAUACCUUGACUAUGAGAAUAUUGUGUAGACAAGAAUAUAAAAUGUAUUUAGUGCAGAGGAUAUGGAAAUUAAAUAAUCUUGACCAGCUAACCAUCUGUGUUCAUUUGAUAACAUCAGUGGACACCAACUGUGAAUGAAGCACUUACCUAAUCAUUUAAUUGCUUGUAUAAACAAUCAAUUACAUGGUUUCAAUGUUGAAUAUCAGGGGAAAUCCGGGCUGUUCUCUAAAGUAGUCCUAGAUUUGUAAAGCAAGGAACAAGUUUCUGUACGGCAAAAUCAUAAUCAUUGUCGCUGGCGACAAUCAUAAUAUCAUGAGUUACGUUUUCCUCAACAGCAUAGUCCCCAAUAUUUGAGUUAGCAACAGGAAGCAGUUCCUCGCAAAUCGA